UACGUAGGGUGCAAGCGUUGUCCGGAAUUAUUGGGCGUAAAGAGCUCGUAGGCGGUUCGGUAAGUCGGGUGUGAAAACUCUGGGCUCAACCCAGAGCCGCCACCUGAUACUGCUGUGACUAGAGUGCGGUAGGGGAGCGGGGAAUUCCUGGUGUAGCGGUGAAAUGCGCAGAUAUCAGGAGGAACACCAGUGGCGAAGGCGCCGCUCUGGGCCGUGACUGACGCUGAGGAGCGAAAGCGUGGGUAGCAAACAGG
This 254-nucleotide ribosomal RNA is filed under the name uncultured bacterium. RNAcentral's name for it is "partial 16S ribosomal RNA". It matches the Rfam family "Bacterial small subunit ribosomal RNA", at positions 524 to 776 of the family's 1533-position model. The record is from RNAcentral.